RNAcentral lists this ribosomal RNA (207 nucleotides) under uncultured bacterium. RNAcentral's name for it is "partial 16S ribosomal RNA". It matches the Rfam family "Bacterial small subunit ribosomal RNA", at positions 568 to 774 of the family's 1533-position model. The record is from RNAcentral.
CUCGUAGGCGGCCAACUAAGUCAGACGUGAAAUCCCUCGGCUUAACCGGGGGACUGCGUCUGAUACUGGAUGGCUUGAGGUUGGGAGAGGGAUGCGGAAUUCCAGGUGUAGCGGUGAAAUGCGUAGAUAUCAGGAGGAACACCGGUGGUGUAGACGGCUUUCUGGACCGUAACUGACGCUGAAACACGAAAGCGUGGGUAGCAAACA